RNAcentral lists this ribosomal RNA (253 nucleotides) under uncultured bacterium. RNAcentral's name for it is "partial 16S ribosomal RNA". It matches the Rfam family "Bacterial small subunit ribosomal RNA", at positions 524 to 776 of the family's 1533-position model. The record is from RNAcentral.
UACAGAGGUCCCAAGCGUUGUUCGGAUUCACUGGGCGUAAAGGGUGCGUAGGUGGUCGGGUAAGUCUGAUGUGAAAUCUCUGGGCUCAACCCAGAAAUGGCAUUGGAUACUAUUCGGCUCGAGGAGUGGAGGGGGGACUGGAAUACUUGGUGUAGCAGUGAAAUGCGUAGAUAUCAAGUGGAACACCAGUGGCGAAGGCGAGUCCCUGGACACUUCCUGACACUGAGGCACGAAAGCUAGGGGAGCAAACAGG